UGGGGAAUAUUGGACAAUGGGCGAAAGCCUGAUCCAGCCAUGCCGCGUGAGUGACGAAGGCCUUAGGGUUGUAAAACUCUUUCGUCGGGGACGAUAAUGACGGUACCCGAAGAAGAAGCUCCGGCUAACUUCGUGCCAGCAGCCGCGGUAAUACGAAGGGAGCUAGCGUUGUUCGGAAUCACUGGGCGUAAAGCGCACGUAGGCGGAUAGUUAAGUCAGGGGUGAAAUCCUGGGGCUCAACCCCAGAACUGCCUUUGAUACUGGCUGUCUCGAGGUCGAGAGAGGUUGGUGGAAUUCCUAGUGUAGAGGUGAAAUUCGUAGAUAUUAGGAAGAACACCAGUGGCGAAGGCGGCCAACUGGCUCGAUACUGACGCUGAGGUGCGAAAGCGUGGGGAGCAAACAGGAUUAGAUACCCGUGUAGUCCCUGAGCGGGCUGGCAAGGCGCAU
Molecule: ribosomal RNA, 447 nt
Filed under: uncultured bacterium
Lineage: Bacteria
Description: bacterial SSU rRNA
Rfam family: Bacterial small subunit ribosomal RNA
Source: RNAcentral